RNAcentral lists this transfer RNA (72 nucleotides) under Marmota monax (woodchuck). It matches the Rfam family "tRNA". From Rfam's summary of the family: Transfer RNA (tRNA) molecules are approximately 80 nucleotides in length. Their secondary structure includes four short double-helical elements and three loops (D, anti-codon, and T loops). Further hydrogen bonds mediate the characteristic L-shaped molecular structure. tRNAs have two regions of fundamental functional importance: the anti-codon, which is responsible for specific mRNA codon recognition, and the 3' end, to which the tRNAs corresponding amino acid is attached (by aminoacyl-tRNA synthetases). tRNAs cope with the degeneracy of the genetic code in two manners: having more than one tRNA (with a specific anti-codon) for a particular amino acid; and 'wobble' base-pairing, i.e. permitting non-standard base-pairing at the 3rd anti-codon position. Lineage: Eukaryota; Metazoa; Chordata; Mammalia; Rodentia; Sciuridae. The record is from Rfam by way of RNAcentral.
GGAGUUGUGGCUCAAUGGUAGAGCACUCGUCUAGCAUGUGGGAGGCCCUGGGUUCGAUCCUCAGCACCACCU